AGCGAACGCUGGCGGCAGGCCUAACACAUGCAAGUCGAACGAAGCCUUCGGGCUUAGUGGCGGACGGGUGAGUAACACGUGGGAACGUACCUUUUGGUUCGGAACAACUCAGGGAAACUUGAGCUAAUACCGGAUGAGCCCUUAGGGGGAAAGAUUUAUCGCCGAAAGAGCGGCCCGCGUUAGAUUAGCUAGUUGGUGAGGUAAAGGCUCACCAAGGCAACGAUCUAUAGCUGGUCUGAGAGGAUGAUCAGCCACACUGGGACUGAGACACGGCCCAGACUCCUACGGGAGGCAGCAGUGGGGAAUCUUGCGCAAUGGGCGAAAGCCUGACGCAGCCAUGCCGCGUGAAUGAUGAAGUUCUUAGGAUUGUAAAAUUCUUUUACCAGGGACGAUAAUGACGGUACCUGGAGAAAAAGCCCCGGCUAACUUCGUGCCAGCAGCCGCCGUAA
This 449-nucleotide ribosomal RNA is filed under the name uncultured bacterium. RNAcentral describes it as "partial 16S ribosomal RNA". It matches the Rfam family "Bacterial small subunit ribosomal RNA", at positions 29 to 523 of the family's 1533-position model. The record is from RNAcentral.